CAGCUCACAUUCAGGCAUUCAGGGCUUGAAAGGAAAGGCUUAAGGAGCUUGACGGAGGCCGGGAGCUCCUCCUACUCUUAAGGAAGCUCGGAUAUGCAGCCCUAGCUCGCGUACUGAACCAGCGGGCAGGGCUUAAGGGCAGCUGUUUGCAUCCGGCUCAGGCACGGGCCUUUUUUGUUUGGUUCUUUUUUCUUUUUCUUGCUUUUUUUUUUUUUUUAUAGUUUUAUUAAUUCUCGCUGGUCCCCAUCUGUGCUUUCGACUGGAUUCAGAACUCAGUUUAUCUUCCAGGCCCCCUGUCUUUGGGUCUCGAUCACCACAGAGGGGAGGGCGAGAAUGCAGAGAGAAAAUGUGAGACUGAAACUUUUUUAAAGAAGCAUACAAGAAAGAAGCACACACUUUAUUAGGGAGAUGUUGAUGAGAUGCUUACAACCCUCCCCCCGCCCCCGAGUCCCAGUUAGGCCAUCUGGCAGGUACCGCCGUAAAUUGCAAGACCGAAAUCCAAUCAACCGAAGUAAUUUCUUAGGAAGAUAAGCUUGCAACACGUGCAGUAAUGAAAGAAUUUAAAUAGCAUUAAAAAUAUUCCGGAAUGUUGAGCAAGUGCCACCUGGCCGCAGUCACAAGACAGAAGAAGGAGAUAAAUGGGCACACACCAAAGGUUUGUAUUAAAGUGUAAGUUUCAGCCCCUCACUACAUUUAAGGGAGGCUGCCCCGCAGAGGAAACUUCUGCUGUCUCGGCGCGGGAGUUACCGAGCUACCUUAACUGGGGCGCAACGCAGCCUUCGGCCACCAGAGGCAGCGGGCGUCUGCGGCCUGUCAAAAACUGGCGCUUUUUUCCUCCCCUUUCCGUGGAGAGACUAUCAACUCCAUCUGUCACAAAAAUUAAGGCUAAAUCUCCUCUCCAGAAACAGAGGGAGCCGGGGCUCCGACGCGCUCAGCGUCGGGUUGUCCGCCUCUCCCUAGAGGCCAAGUGAAUUUGAAACAGCAAAAGUCACAGCCGCAGGCCCAGCACUAGGAGAUUCCUCCGGCUGUGGGACAUCCUCCUGUGCCUGCUGAGGCUGCUGCGGUCCUUAGAGGCGCUGGGUCUGCCGUGGGAAGCUGCACCUCUGCAGUACCAAAGUCAAACCUUAAAAGAGCCAGACUGAGGCAGAGGAGCUGAGCAGCUAAUUGGAGGGGACAGUAUGAGCCUCCAAAGAUUAGGGAAGAAAAGUGCAGUUGAAGAAAACUUCCUUUGAUUCAGUGCAAAAAUAAUGGAAUGAAUGGCAUACUGAAAUAUCAUAUGACAUACAAAAAUGGUGAAAGGCAUUUAAUACCUUCUUCUCUGCACAAAGGACCUAGAUUUUGGGUCCAGGUAGCCAGCAGAGGUGUCUCAACAUGAAGGAAGACCCAGACCCAGUGGACAAAUUCUGGUUGAUCUAAUGUAAUGAUACUAGCUCCAUUCUUCUUUACCAAUGAGUGCUCUAGGGAUACUGAAUUGGAGCCAGCUAACGUAUGGAGCUUACCUUGGUUGUCACCUUCUGGUCUCUGUUUGAGGACCAACUGCAUGUGAUUACGGGUUGAUACUGAGAUCUUGUUCCUGAUCUUCCAUUUUUGCAAAGACUGAAGGUUCAAUCUAUUUUUUAGACCAUUACUUUUGUUCUGUCAUACCUGAGUGUCUACACCAUCAUGACUAAGCUGUGGCUGAAAACCAUUUGAUAAUGAAGCAAUGGAGCUGACAAUGAUAUUCACUCAUUGCCUGGUUUUUUUUUUUUUUUUUUUUUUUUGGUGCUUUUAAAAAUUGCUGUCUAAUUAUAGAAUUGUAUUCACUCCUGUUUUAAUAAAUAAGAGACGAUUUACAAUAACUCACUUGCAGCAAUGUGCUUUGAAUCAUUUCAGAGAAGAUGGAGGACAGAAGAGAUUGGCUGACACCACAGUAUGAUAAAAAAAAAAAAAAAAACGGAAUCAGUGGUAUUUAUGAGAUGGAUAAAUAAAGCACGCACCCACCCCUAUAAGCCCACUGCAUGGUCAAGUUCUUAGGAAGGUGAUGAGGCAACCUCUCCGAUAUUCCCAUUAUAGAGCUCCACUAAUAUUCUGCUUGGUGAUGACAAGGUUGAAUUUAGAUUGGUUGAUAGUUGGUAUUGAGCCCAAAACCAGGGUUGAAGUUGUUCUAGGGAGAGGCUGGAUUGAGGCACAAUGUAGGCUAACGUUAACCUCCUCCUGACUAGACACCCCAGCGGAAGGGCCUUGACACAAACCCAGUGUAUCUCCUGAGUGGGCAAAUACAAAGAGCGAUCCAGGGUGUUAGUUGCUAGUUGCAUGACCUGAGCAGCAAUGCAGGGAGGACCUUCCUUUUGCCUUUGAGCCUCCUCCUCCAGAGAAACUUUUACCAGUGACUUGGCAGUGAGACGUGUGUUUCAUGUAGUGGUGAAUGUUUUAGAUCCCCAGACUCUUGUUCUACUGAAGACCCUCCUUCCAGGGUCCUGCAUUGAACUGGCCUUGCUGCAGCCUUCCUGAGUCUGUCAGCAGUAAAGGCAACAGUCCCCAGAAUGGAGCAUUUUAGCCAAUAGUUAAAAGUCCUGGUAUUUUCUCCACAAAGUGAUGAUAAGAAAGGGGGUUGACCCCUCAAUCAUAUCAAAAAUGUUUGGAGGUCACUGGGUAGACAUGAAAGACAACCUGUUGAAAAUUUAGAUGGAGGUCUGGAGUCAUACAAGCAGAGGAAAAAGACUGAAAAGAAAUAAUGUCAGAAUGUUAAUGAUAUGGUGAUGUUAGAGUUGAUUUUAUUUUUUUUUCGUUGUACUCUGUAGUGUGAAUUCUCUAAAAGGAGCAUUUUUUAAACAAGAAAAAAAAUAUACAAUGUUAAAAUAGGCACAGAAAACCUGAAUACAAUAAAAUACUUUUAAAUAAGUUAACACUCAUAUCUAGAAACUCUAAGCAAAACUAGUUUGCCAACAGUCACAAAAGGUAAUUCUAUUUAGAUUAAAAAUGUGAGCUAUGACUAUCUCACUUUCAGAUAUUCACAGAAUAGGAUACCAGGACUAAAUUGUGUGCAUGGCUGAGGAAACAUAGCUUUUUGUUUUCUCUGUGUCAGGUGGUUUCUCUCUCUUUAACCAAGAUUACAUUUCCAGAGUAUCUACUUCUCCAUUUCUCCUGCCUUUUAUUUUUCCGUGGUUGCAAUCUCCUGUAAUUAUGAGAAAAAAGUUUUUUUAGCUGGCUCUGAGAUUAGCCAGUUUGGAGCCAACCUGACGAUUCCCAGUUGGUGCUAAUAAUCUUCUCUGUAGACACGUAAGUUUUCAGGACAUUCAGCUCUGCUCUGAGACUUAAAACAGCUGGAAAAUGCAUGACUUGAGUUUUUAGAUCUGACAGCAUUUGAAUCCACUGUCAAAUAGUACUUAAUACCUGUUAAUCUUUUUGCAGUUUAUUUUCUUGUGCUUAGAUAUUUGCUACAGUAAUUAAAAGCAGUUAUGAAUUCCUGAAAUAUAAUUCCAAAUACCUAGUUCUAAUGAGUCAAUCCAGUACUUGGAUAAACAAAUACCAAAGUUCAGGAGAGGGUUAAAAAGUUGGGAGUUGUCUUUAUUUUUGAAUCACACUAUCUUUAAAUUGCACAGUAUUAUCCUUAAACUGUACAAAUUCAACCUGAAAGGACAAACCAUUCCUCAAAUUAACGCCUUUUGCACUUUGGUGAUACAUCUUUAUUUACGAAAACCUGACAUCUCCAUUUCAUUAAAUUUUUAGCACUAAUCUGUGCUUCUUGCUAGAUAUUUAACAAAUGAAGUUUUUGUUAAUGUAUUAGUCUGUUCUCACACUGCUAAUAAAG
Long non-coding RNA from Chlorocebus sabaeus (green monkey), 3790 nucleotides. RefSeq lists it as uncharacterized. The record is from RefSeq and is a predicted model, not a curated record. Lineage: Eukaryota; Metazoa; Chordata; Mammalia; Primates; Cercopithecidae.